GAUGAACGCUGGCGGCGUGCCUAAUACAUGCAAGUCGAGCGAACAGACGAGGAGCUUGCUCCUCUGACGUUAGCGGCGGACGGGUGAGUAACACGUGGAUAACCUACCUAUAAGACUGGGAUAACUUCGGGAAACCGGAGCUAAUACCGGAUAAUAUAUUGAACCGCAUGGUUCAAUAGUGAAAGACGGUUUUGCUGUCACUUAUAGAUGGAUCCGCGCCGCAUUAGAUAGUUGGUAAGGUAACGGCUUACCAAGGCGACGAUGCGUAGCCGACCUGAGAGGGUGAUCGGCCACACUGGAACGGAGACACGGUCCAGACUCCUAAGGGAGGCAGCAGUAGGGAAUCUGACGCAAUGGGCGAAAGCCUGACGGAGCAACGCGGAGUGAGUGAUGAAGGUCUUCGGAUCGUAAAAAUCUGUUAUUAGGGAAGAACAAAUGUGUAAGUAACUAUGCACGUCUUGACGGUAACUAAUCAGAAAGCAACGGCUAACUACGUG
Molecule: ribosomal RNA, 497 nt
Filed under: uncultured bacterium
Lineage: Bacteria
Description: partial 16S ribosomal RNA
Rfam family: Bacterial small subunit ribosomal RNA
Source: RNAcentral